Molecule: ribosomal RNA, 532 nt
Filed under: uncultured bacterium
Lineage: Bacteria
Description: bacterial SSU rRNA
Rfam family: Bacterial small subunit ribosomal RNA
Source: RNAcentral
AAUAGAUACCCGGGUAGUCCACGCCGUAAACGAUGAGUGCUAAGUGUUAGGGGGUUUCCACCCCUUAGUGCUGCAGCUAACGCAUUAAGCACUCCGCCUGGGGAGUACGGUCGCAAGACUGAAACUCAAAGGAAUUGACGGGGGCCCGCACAAGCGGUGGAGCAUGUGGCUUAAUUCGAAGCAACGCGAAGAACCUUACCAGGUCUUGACAUCCCGCUGACCGCUAUGGAGACAUAGCCUUCCCUUCGGGGACAGCGGUGACAGGUGGUGCAUGGUUGUCGUCAGCUCGUGUCGUGAGAUGUUGGGUUAAGUCCCGCAACGAGCGCAACCCUUGUCCUUAGUUGCCAUCAUUCAGUUGGGCACUCUAAGGAGACUGCCGUACAAAUACGGAGGAAGGUGGGGAUGACGUCAAAUCAUCAUGCCCCUUAUGACCUGGGCUACACACGUGCUACAAUGGACGGUACAAACGGUCGCGAAGUCGCGAGACGGAGCCAAUCCGAAAAAACCGUUCUCAGUUCGGAUUGCAGGCUGC